Molecule: small nucleolar RNA, 74 nt
Organism: Cololabis saira (Pacific saury)
Lineage: Eukaryota; Metazoa; Chordata; Actinopteri; Beloniformes; Belonidae
Product: small nucleolar RNA SNORD83
Exons: 1
Source: RefSeq, a predicted model, not a curated record
GCCACAUGAUGAUCUGUAGCUCAGCAGCCUCCGGGCCGUGAUGACCUGCUAUCUAUCACCCUUUACUGAUGGCU